CACGUGUGAGCGCCCCACGGGCUUCCUCAGCUGGCUGAGGUCACCGGAUGACCCCGAGGGCACACUAACUCAAAAUGUGGUCUUCGUAUUUUUUUUUAAAUUUCUGCCCAACAUCAAUGGAGUGAAGCUAAAGGAACAAAGCAACAAAAACAAAAAACAAACUAAAAUAAUCCCCAAACCAAAAACAACUGCCUUUGAAAGCUCCAAGCCAUGGAGGAUGUGAAUGCUAGAAUUUACUUCUCAGGCAACCAUUGCUUAAUCCAAGGUCACAAAGAUCAACUCAAUUACAAAAGCAAAUCAAUAGAAGAAAAGUAGCCUUUUCAACAAAUGGUGCUAAAGUAACACACAUAGGCUGAAAAAUGAACCUUGACCUAAGUUCACACCACAUAAAGAAUGAUCUCAGGAGCCAAGAUGGCUGCGUGAG
Non-coding RNA from Manis javanica (Malayan pangolin), 424 nucleotides. The record is from RefSeq and is a predicted model, not a curated record. NCBI's taxonomy places the organism in Eukaryota, Metazoa, Chordata, Mammalia, Pholidota, Manidae.